Molecule: transfer RNA, 75 nt
Filed under: Candidatus Roizmanbacteria bacterium RIFCSPLOWO2_01_FULL_37_12
Lineage: Bacteria; Candidatus Roizmaniibacteriota
Description: tRNA-Met
Rfam family: tRNA
About the family: Transfer RNA (tRNA) molecules are approximately 80 nucleotides in length. Their secondary structure includes four short double-helical elements and three loops (D, anti-codon, and T loops).
Source: RNAcentral
GUCAGCGUAGCUCAGUGGUAGAGCACACGUUUCAUAAGCGUGUCGUCACAGGUUCGAAUCCUGUCGCUGACACCC